AUGAACGCUGGCGGCGUGCCUCAUACAUGCAAGUCGAGCGAACGGACGAGAAGCUUGCUUCUCUGAUGUUAGCGGCGGACGGGUGAGUAACACGUGGAUAACCUACCUAUAAGACUGGGAUAACUUCGGGAAACCGGAGCUAAUACCGGAUAAUAUUUUGAACCGCAUGGUUCAAAAGUGAAAGACGGUCUUGCUGUCACUUAUAGAUGGAUCCGCGCUGCAUUAGCUAGUUGGUAAGGUAACGGCUUACCAAGGCAACGAUGCAUAGCCGACCUGAGAGGGUGAUCGGCCACACUGGAACUGAGACACGGUCCAGACUCCUACGGGAGGCAGCAGUAGGGAAUCUUCCGCAAUGGGCGAAAGCCUGACGGAGCAACGCCGCGUGAGUGAUGAAGGUCUUCGGAUCGUAAAACUCUGUUAUUAGGGAAGAACAUAUGUGUAAGUAACUGUGCACAUCUUGACGGUACCUAAUCAGAAAGCCGCGGCUAACUACGUG
Molecule: ribosomal RNA, 496 nt
Filed under: uncultured bacterium
Lineage: Bacteria
Description: partial 16S ribosomal RNA
Rfam family: Bacterial small subunit ribosomal RNA
Source: RNAcentral